RNAcentral lists this ribosomal RNA (429 nucleotides) under Chloroflexota bacterium. RNAcentral's name for it is "Chloroflexi bacterium partial 16S ribosomal RNA". It matches the Rfam family "Bacterial small subunit ribosomal RNA", at positions 355 to 776 of the family's 1533-position model. The record is from RNAcentral. Lineage: Bacteria; Bacillati; Chloroflexota.
GGGGGAAUAUUGCACAAUGGGCGCAAGCCUGAUGCAGCCAUGCCGCGUGUGUGAAGAAGGCCUUCGGGUUGUAAAGCACUUUCAGCGGGGAGGAAGGCGAUAAGGUUAAUAACCUUGUCGAUUGACGUUACCCGCAGAAGAAGCACCGGCUAACUCCGUGCCAGCAGCCGCGGAAAUACGGCGGGUGCAAGCGUUAAUCGGAAUAACUGGGCGUAAAGCGCACGCAGGCGGUCUGUCAAGUCGGAGGUGAAAUCCCCGGGCGCAACCUGGGAACUGCAUUCGAAACUGGCAGGCUAGAGUCUUGUAGAGGGGGGUAGAAUUCCAGGUGUAGCGGUGAAAUGCGAAGAGAUCUGGGAGAAUACCGGUGGCGAAGUCGGCCCCCUGGACAAAGACUGACGAUAAGGUGCGAAAGCGUGGGGAGCAAACAGG